UCCUACGGGAGGCAGCAGUCGGGAAUUUUGCGCAAUGGCCGCAAGGCUGACGCAGCAACGCCGCGUGAGUGAAGAAGGCCUUCGGGUUGUAAAGCUCUGUUGCCCGUGACGAACGGCCUCAUCAGGAAAUGGGUGAGGAUUGACGGUAGCGGGAGAGGAAGCCCCGGCUAACUACGUGCCAGCAGCCGCGGUAAUACGUAGGGGGCGAGCGUUGUCCGGAUUUAUUGGGCGUAAAGGGCGUGUAGGCGGCCUGUUAAGUCCGAAGUGAAAGCCCGCAGCUCAACUGCGGGAUUGCUUCGGAAACUGGGAGGCUUGAGUGCUCUAGAGGGCAGUGGAAUUCCCGGUGUAGCAGUGAAAUGCGUAGAGAUCGGGAGGAACACCAGUGGCGAAGGCGACUGCCUGGGGAGCAACUGACGCUGAGGCGCGAAAGCUGGGGGAGCAAACGGGAUUAGAUACCCCGGUAGU
This 465-nucleotide ribosomal RNA is filed under the name uncultured bacterium. Its description in RNAcentral is "bacterial SSU rRNA". It matches the Rfam family "Bacterial small subunit ribosomal RNA", at positions 337 to 794 of the family's 1533-position model. The record is from RNAcentral.